RNAcentral lists this unclassified non-coding RNA (242 nucleotides) under Roussoella tuberculata. RNAcentral describes it as "partial contains 5.8S ribosomal RNA, internal transcribed spacer 2, and large subunit ribosomal RNA". Lineage: Eukaryota; Fungi; Ascomycota; Dothideomycetes; Pleosporales; Thyridariaceae. The record is from RNAcentral.
CGCAUAUUGCGCCCCUUGGUAUUCUAUAGGGCAUGCCUGUUCGAGCGUUAUUUAUACCCUCAAGUACUGCUUGGUAUUAGGCGUUUGUUCCGCUAUACGCGCGAACUCGCCUCAAAUGUAUUAGCAGCCGGCCGUCCCGCGUAGGAGCGUAGCAUAGGAUACGCGCCCGGCGGCGCACGGCGGCGUCUACCCGCCCUUUCACGCUUGACCUCAGAUCAGGUAGGGAUACCCGCUGAACUUAA